RNAcentral lists this ribosomal RNA (1560 nucleotides) under Pomacea canaliculata. RNAcentral's name for it is "18S ribosomal RNA". The record is from RNAcentral. Lineage: Eukaryota; Metazoa; Mollusca; Gastropoda; Architaenioglossa; Ampullariidae.
CGACGUGCGAGUCGAGUGAUCCCACCGCCUAAAGUUGUUUCAUUUCUUUUCAUCUGCUUUGCAACGAUAUUUGAAAGGUUUCAACAAAAUGCGAAAUGAAUGAAAAAAAUUGUUUGAUAGACUUUUUCAGACUCUCGACGCGGAGGCCAGCUACCCCUCACUAAACCGUUCACUCGGUAGUAGUGACAGGCGGUGUGUAGAAAGGGCACCGAUGUAAUUACUGGGAAUUCCUCGUUGAUAAGAAGAAUUUCAAGCCCCCAAUCCCUAUCACGAAGGACGUUCAAGGGGUUCGCACUGUUUUCAAAGCAUGGUCACAUCCACCUUGAUUCCUUCUAAAGGCAGCCAGACCUGUUAUUGCUCAAUCUCUUGUGGCUAAACGCCACUUCUCCCUCUAAGAAGUUAGCACCGAUGCGUGAAGAAUCGGUGAACUAUUUAACAGGCUAGAGUCUCGCCCGUUAUCAGAAUUAAUCAGACAAAUCGCGCCACCACCUAAGAACGGCCAUGCGCCACCACCCACCGAAUCAAGAAAAAGAUAUCAAUCUGUCAAUGCUUACAGUGUGCGGACUGGGUGUGUUUUACCGUGUUGAAUCAAAUUAAGCCGCAGGCUCCACUCCUGGUGGUGACAUUCCGUCAAUUCCUUUAAGUUUCAGCUUUGCAACCAUACUUCCCCUGGAACCCGAAAAGUUUGGUUUCAGAGUCGAUGAAGCGACACUUGCACAACGCUAGUUGUCAUCGUUUAUGGUCAGAACAAUGACAGUAUUUAAUCGUCUUCGAUCCUCUGACUUUCGUUCUUGACUAAUGAAAAUAUGCUUGGCAAAUGCUUUCGCAGUUGUUCGUCUUGCGAAGACUACCCUGCGAAGAGCCGCGCACGCUCAGGCUUCGCGCAGUGACCGUCGCGAGACGGACCGCACGACCAUGCCUCAGAUGCAACUACGAGCUUUUUAAGCGCAACGACUUUAAUAUACGCUAUUGGAGCUGAAAUUACCACGGCUGCUGGCACCAGACUUGCCCUCCAAUAGAUCCUCGUUAAAGGGUUUAAAGUGUACUCAUUCCAAUUACGGAGCCUCAAAAGAGUUCCGUAUUGCUAUUUUUCGUCACUACCUCCCCUAGCCGGGAGUGGGUAAGUUGCGCGCCUGGUGCCUUCCUUGGAUGUGGUAUCCGUUUCUUAUGCUCCCUCUCCGGAAUCACACCCUGAUUCCCCGUUACCCGUUGUCAACAUGGUAGGUCUAUCACGUACCAUCGACAGUUCAUAAGGCAGACAUUUGAAAGAUGCCUCGCCGGCUCGAAGCCAUGCGAUCGGCACAAAGUUAUCCAGAGUCAUUAAAAGGGACUGGGCCGAGACCCCGACUGAUUUUGAACUAAUAAAAGCGCUCUUUCCCGGCUUUGACGGGUCGGAGUUGGUUUGCAUGUAUUAGCUCUAGAAUUGCCACAGUUAUCCAAGUAGAAAUGGAUCAUCUAAGGAACCUCGACUGAUUUCAUGAGCCAUUCGCGGUUUCACCGUACGAGGCAUGGCUUAAUCUUUGAGAACAAGCAUAUGACUACUGGUAGGAUCAACCAGAA